Molecule: ribosomal RNA, 252 nt
Filed under: uncultured bacterium
Lineage: Bacteria
Description: partial 16S ribosomal RNA
Rfam family: Bacterial small subunit ribosomal RNA
Source: RNAcentral
UACGUAGGGGGCUAGCGUUAUCCGGAAUUACUGGGCGUAAAGGGUGCGUAGGUGGCUUCUUAAGUCAGAGGUGAAAGGCUACGGCUCAACCGUAGUAAGCCUUUGAAACUGGGGAACUUGAGUGCAGAAGAGGAGAGCGGAAUUCCUAGUGUAGCGGUGAAAUGCGUAGAUAUUAGGAGGAACACCAGUUGCGAAGGCGGCUCUCUGGACUGUAACUGACACUGAGGCACGAAAGCGUGGGGAGCAAACAGG